UUGCUAGAGGUGAAAUUCUUGGAUUUACUCAAGACUAACUACUGCGAAAGCAUUUGCCAAGGAUGUUUUCAUUAAUCAAGAACGAAGGUUAGGGGAUCGAAAACGAUCAGAUACCGUUGUAGUCUUAACAGUAAACUAUGCCGACUAGGGAUCGGGCGAUCUCACUUUUAUGUGUCGC
Molecule: ribosomal RNA, 178 nt
Filed under: Sistotrema brinkmannii
Lineage: Eukaryota; Fungi; Basidiomycota; Agaricomycetes; Cantharellales; Hydnaceae
Description: partial small subunit ribosomal RNA
Rfam family: Eukaryotic small subunit ribosomal RNA
Source: RNAcentral